GUAGGCGGUUAUGUAAGCGAGUGAUGAAAACUAUCGGCUCAACCGAUAGCCUAUUAUUCGAACUGCAUAACUCGAGAGUAUCAGAGGUCGCUGGAAUUCCUAGUGUAGGAGUGAAAUCCGUAGAUAUUAGGAGGAACACCAAUGGCGUAGGCAGGCGACUGGGAUAUUUCUGACGCUAAGGCACGAAAGCGUGGGGAGCGAACCGGAUUAGAUACCCGGGUAGUCCACGCCGUAAACUAUGGAUGCUAAUUGUUUGGGGUAUCGACCCCUCGAGUAAUAAAGCUAACGCGUUAAGCAUCCCGCCUGUGGAGUACGGCCGCAAGGCUAAAACAUAAAGGAAUUGACGGGGACCCGCACAAGCGGUGGAGGAUGUUCUUUAAUUCGAUGCUAAGCGAAGAACCUUACCAGGGCUUGACAUCCCUUGAAUUUCUCCGAAAGGAGAGAGUGCUUUAUUGAACAAGGUGACAGAUUCUGCAUGGCCGUCGUCAGCUCGUGUCGUGAGAUGUUUGGUUAAGUCCAUCAACGAGCGCAACCCUUAUUGUCAGUUGUAUUUUUCUGGCAAGACUGCCCCGGUAACGGGGAGGAAGGGGGGGAUGAUGUCAGGUCAGUAUUGAUCUUACGUCCUGGGCUAGAAACGUCCUACAAUGGCCGGUACAACGGGCAGCUAACCCGCGAGGGGGAGCAAAUCCCAUCAAAGCCGGUCCCAGUUCGGAUUGCAGGCUGAAACUCGCCUGCAUGAAGUCGGAAUCGCUAGUAAUCGCAGAUCAGCACGCUGCGGUGAAUACGUUCCCGGGUCUUGUACACACCGCCCGUCAAACCAUGAAAGUCAGGAGCACCCGACGUCCGAAUUUAUUUCGGCCUAAGGUGAGCUUGGUGAUUGGGGUU
Molecule: ribosomal RNA, 885 nt
Filed under: uncultured Candidatus Saccharibacteria bacterium
Lineage: Bacteria; Candidatus Saccharimonadota
Description: bacterial SSU rRNA
Rfam family: Bacterial small subunit ribosomal RNA
Source: RNAcentral